Molecule: ribosomal RNA, 486 nt
Filed under: uncultured bacterium
Lineage: Bacteria
Description: partial 16S ribosomal RNA
Rfam family: Bacterial small subunit ribosomal RNA
Source: RNAcentral
GAUGAACGCUGGCGGCGUGCCUAAUACAUGCAAGUCGAACGCUGGAGAUCUAGCUUGCUAGAUCGAAGGAGUGGCGAACGGGUGAGUAAUACAUAAGCAACCUACCCACGAAGACUGGGAUAAUCUCUGGAAACGGGGACUAAUACCGGAUAGGUAAUCGGAAGGCAUCUUCUGGUUAUUAAAGGUUACAAACACUGGUGGAUGGGCUUAUGGCGCAUUAGUUAGUUGGUGAGGUAACGGCCCACCAAGACGAUGAUGCGUAGCCGGCCUGAGAGGGUGAACGGCCACAUUGGGACUGAGACACGGCCCAGACUCCUACGGGAGGCAGCAGUAGGGAAUUUUCGGCAAUGGGGGCAACCCUGACCGAGCAACGCCGCGUGAGUGAAGACGGCCUUCGGGUUGUAAAGCUCUGUUGUAAGGGAAGAACGGUAGAUAGAGAAUAUCUAAGUGACGGUACCUUACCAGAAAGCCACGGCUAACUACGUG